RNAcentral lists this ribosomal RNA (468 nucleotides) under uncultured bacterium. Its description in RNAcentral is "partial 16S ribosomal RNA". It matches the Rfam family "Bacterial small subunit ribosomal RNA", at positions 28 to 507 of the family's 1533-position model. The record is from RNAcentral.
GACGAACGCUGGCGGCGUGCUUAACACAUGCAAGUCGAACGGAAAGGCCCUGCUUUUGUGGGGUGCUCGAGUGGCGAACGGGUGAGUAACACGUGAGUAACCUGCCCUUGACUUUGGGAUAACUUCAGGAAACUGGGGCUAAUACCGGAUAGGAGCUCCUGCUGCAUGGUGGGGGUUGGAAAGUUUCGGCGGUUGGGGAUGGACUCGCGGCUUAUCAGCUCGUUGGUGGGGUAGUGGCUUACCAAGGAUUUGACGGGUAGCCGGCCUGAGAGGGUGACCGGCCACAUUGGGACUGAGAUACGGCCCAGACUCCUACGGGAGGCAGCAGUGGGGAAUAUUGCACAAUGGGCGGAAGCCUGAUGCAGCAACGCCGCGUGCGGGAUGACGGCCUUCGGGUUGUAAACCGCUUUCGCCUGUGACGAAGCGUGAGUGACGGUAAUGGGUAAAGAAGCACCGGCUAACUACGUG